UCGGGUCUCCACCUUGUUGUUGGUGAGGGGGCUUACACUCGAACCUUAAGCAGGCUAGUUUUCCCAGCUACCAGCUAAGGUUUGAGCAAACUAAGAGAGGCCCACCCCUAUGAAUAUAUGGAAGAAUUAACUAAAUGAAUACAACCAUAGCGGGGAUAUACGCUAAACGGUCGGUAGAAGUCACGGCUGCCGGCUUAGGCUUUGCUUCGCGGUCUCAAUACCGAGAGGAGGAGUCGCCAGUGACAACAUUUUUUCAUAUUAACUUUUACUUUUUAUCUCACCUGCUUAUAUUUCUAAAUCUUUUUCUUUUAUCUUUUUCUUUUUUCCCUUUUUGUUUUCUUUUCUUUUCUUUUUCUUUAUUUUCCUUUAGAACUGAAACAUAUAAGCAGAGUAACGAAUUUUUUAUUGAUACCAAAAUGGAAAAAGCAACGAAACUUCAGCUAACUGAGGAGGAGGAGAAUUUACUUCUCGAUCCGUUCGCAAAUCUGGACAUGGAGGACGGAGCCAGCGCGAUAGACGUCGAUGAUAGUGCCAGCAUGAUAUCAUCCGUUGCGAGCUCCAACUUCUCGAACUCGUCAAGGCGGAGUAGAAUCUCUACCUGUAAGAGAACAAUCCGGAGGUUAGGAAAGCUGGACUGGGGCCAGAUGUCCGAGGAAGAUAGAAUGAGGCUGCACAAUGCUCGUGCCUUCAUGGACAGGGAGGGCUUGGGAAAAGCUAGACUUUCACCAAACCCCCCCUCUUCAAAAGGUCCGAGUAUUAAGACCGUGAUGGGACCACCUGCUCCCCUUGUUUCAAAACAAGGGAACGGGGACAUCCCAUCUACGUCAGGUGCUAUCGCCUCGACAGCAGAUGAGCAAUCGUCUGGAAGGGAGAAAACGGACCUGAUCGUGAGGACACACGUCGUUGCGUCUGACAGCUCAUCAGCCAAAAAAGUCGUAUCGUCUGGCGGUGCGAGUGUUAAAGCAGAUGGGAAAGGCACAAAUGGUGAGGGGACGGAUAAGAUGGGGUGCAAGGAUAACUUGGUGGGCCAUAGCCCACAGGUUACCCAAAACACCACCAUCAAAUCUGUAACCGAGGGGACGGGUUUAAUGGGGUGCAAGGAUAACUUGGUGGGCCGUAGCCCACAGGUUACCCAAAUCACCACCAUCAAAUCUGUAACCGAGGGGACGGGUAAGAUGGGGUGCAAGGAUAACUUGGUGGGCCGUAGCCCACAGGUUACCCAAAACACCACCAUCAAAUCUGUAAACGUAAACCGUAACCUUUCUUCUGCCAAAUCAGUCCUACCGCCUGGUGGUACGACUGGUAAAGUUGGUGAGUUAGACAAUACUGUCGAGGGAAAAGGUAAGGUGGGGUGCGAAGCUAACUUGGUGGGCCGUAGCCCACAAGAUAACCGAAACACUACCACCGAACCCGAUCCCGCAAACCAAUCGAUCAAUUCGACGUUCCAGAGCCUAGCUACGGUCAUACACAAAAAGACCAGGGCUAGAGCAUUAGAUGAGAAUGAGAUUCGUCGCCGUCAGAAUCGUAACGCUGAGAGGAUUGUCCGUCGCUUUGCCAAAAGGUCUCCCGAGUCCCUUACGGCAAAAGAGCGAGUAGCACUGGACAAAUCAAAUCAACGUUUACGUGCAGCGGCAGAACAGGGAACUGCGGGCACUCCUAGCACCUCCAAAAGAGCUAGGAACGAUGCCAAUUCACCCACCAGCUCUUCACCUAAUAAGACGAAGAAGAAGCGCAGAACCUCUCAGGUUAGCGUAAAAGGCCACCAUGUCGCCAUAGCCGAUUAUGGUAAGCCUUCACGCAAACUGACUGAAGACGAAUGGCAUCUCCUUGAACUAAGGAUCCUGGAGCAAGUCAAUGAGGCUAUCGUCAAGAGCUGGACGGUUCCACUCUUCGGUAACCUUAAGACUGUCCAUGGUUUCAAAGUGAUGCAUUGUGAGAAUGAUAUGACUCUCGAAUGGCUUCGGGAGUUCAUACAAAAAACGUCAGCUCCAUGGCAAGGCGCCGAAUUGCGUCUGAUCGACGUAAAGGAGAUAAAAGAUCUCAACAGACCUCUUGGAAGGCUGUUAGUCAAAGGCCCGACCCUUCCCAACGAACGGCUUGAGAGAUACAUCCUAUCUUUGAAUAGUGAUCUCUUGAGCAGAGAGUGGGAAGUGGUCAAGAAUGAAAGAACGGAUGAUGGCACCGAAGUGGUGGUAAGAUUGAGCCACAAAUCUUUACCACUCCUGAGGAAGGCUGACUUCAAGAUACGCGUUGGAAUCACUAGGUGCAAACUUAGGUUGAUUCGCAACGAUAGAAAACAGGUUAGUAAAGCGAUGAACUUAAACUUUAUUAUAUAAAUGGAAUUGAAAAUUUUACAAAUCAAUCUUCAUCAUAGUAAAGCCGCAACCGCUAACCUUGUCUACCUCAUGGAGAGUAGACAAUACGACGUAGCCCUGAUACAGGAACCCUGGGUUGUAAGAGGGAAUAUCAAGGGUCUACAAUCUAAAGAACUACAGCUGUACAAGUCUAAUCUUGACAGUCAAAAUACAACACUGACCAGACCACGGUAAGAUUGGAGCGAGAUGGGCUCCCAAUGCUCAUCCUCUCGUCUACUUAUAUGCCGUAUGACGGUACAGAAGGACCACCAGCAGAUAUCACUGAAACGUUGGUAUCUUUUGCAAGUAAGAAUAAAUUUGAUAUUAUUUUAGGUUGUGAUUCUAACUCACACCAUAUGCAAUGGGGUAGCACUGAUACUAAUACCAGGGGCGAGUCCCUUUUUGAAUUUAUUAUCGAGAAAAACUUGCUCGUAGCUAAUAGAGG
RNA transcript from Episyrphus balteatus (marmalade hoverfly), 2799 nucleotides. RefSeq lists it as uncharacterized. The record is from RefSeq and is a predicted model, not a curated record. The transcript has 2 exons. Lineage: Eukaryota; Metazoa; Arthropoda; Insecta; Diptera; Syrphidae.